Small nuclear RNA from Echinops telfairi (small Madagascar hedgehog), 104 nucleotides. The record is from Ensembl. Lineage: Eukaryota; Metazoa; Chordata; Mammalia; Afrosoricida; Tenrecidae.
GUGCUUACUUUGGGCAGCACAUAUAUUACAACCGGAAUGAUAGAAGAUUAGCAUGGUCCCUGCACAAAGAGGACAUGUAAAUUAGUGAAAUGCGCCAUAUUUUU